Molecule: long non-coding RNA, 243 nt
Filed under: Elaeis guineensis (African oil palm)
Lineage: Eukaryota; Viridiplantae; Streptophyta; Magnoliopsida; Arecales; Arecaceae
Description: long non-coding RNA (EGUI_LNC073138)
Source: RNAcentral
GUGCAAGCAUGGGCUAUUGGGUAUGACAACAAUCUAUUCGGAAAUCAGAGACCACCAUUCAUCAAUCCCUAUCUCUUGCAUUAGAGCAAUGUGCAGUUCCCUCGCAAGGUAGAGGCGAUCACCGAAGCUAUGAAAAGAUUAAAAAGAUUUGAAGUAUAUAUUUUGCAUCUAAUAUCAUAUAUAUUUCAAGUUAAUGCAUAACUAUUUCUUUUAUCCUUAUCAGCUGAUCAAGAAGAUAGAGUC